GCCGUGGCUUUCGGAGCUAACGCGUUAAGUAGACCGCCUGGGGAGUACGGUCGCAAGAUUAAAACUCAAAUGAAUUGACGGGGGCCCGCACAAGCGGUGGAGCAUGUGGUUUAAUUCGAUGCAACGCGAAGAACCUUACCUACUCUUGACAUCCAGAGAAGCCAGCGGAGACGCAGGUGUGCCUUCGGGAGCUCUGAGACAGGUGCUGCAUGGCUGUCGUCAGCUCGUGUUGUGAAAUGUUGGGUUAAGUCCCGCAACGAGCGCAACCCUUAUCCUUGUUUGCCAGCGAGUAAUGUCGGGAACUCCAGGGAGACUGCCGGUGAUAAACCGGAGGAAGGUGGGGACGACGUCAAGUCAUCAUGGCCCUUACGAGUAGGGCUACACACGUGCUACAAUGGCGCAUACAGAGGGCAGCAAGUUAGCGAUAGUGAGCGAAUCCCAAAAAGUGCGUCGUAGUCCGGAUUGGAGUCUGCAACUCGACUCCAUGAAGUCGGAAUCGCUAGUAAUCGUAGAUCAGAAUGCUACGGUGAAUACGUUCCCGGGCCUUGUACACACCGCCCGUCACACCAUGGGAGUGGGCUGCAAAAGAAGUGGGUAGUUUAACCUUUCGGGGAGGACGCUCACCACUUUGUGGUUCAUGACUGGGGUGAAGUCGUAACAAGGUAGCCCUAGGGGAACCUGGGGCUGGAUCACCUCCUUAUACGAAGAUAC
This 711-nucleotide ribosomal RNA is filed under the name Vibrio sp. 10N.286.46.E10. Its description in RNAcentral is "bacterial SSU rRNA". It matches the Rfam family "Bacterial small subunit ribosomal RNA", at positions 836 to 1533 of the family's 1533-position model. The record is from RNAcentral. Lineage: Bacteria; Pseudomonadati; Pseudomonadota; Gammaproteobacteria; Vibrionales; Vibrionaceae.